UCGAUUAGAGUUUGAUUAUGGCUCAGAACGAACGCUGGCGGCGUGCCUAACACAUGCAAGUCGAGCGAGAAAGUCCCCGCAAGGGGAUGAGUAAAGCGGCGAACGGGUGAGUAACACGUGGGCAACCUGCCCUUCAGUUAGGAAUAACCCAUCGAAAGGUGGGCUAAUACCAGAUGACGUCCCUUGGGGGCAUCCUCGGGGGACCAAAGGGGGCGAGCGAAAGCGGCUCCCGCUGAAGGAUGGGCCUGCGGCUGAUUAGCUAGUUGGUGGGGUAGCGGCCUACCAAGGCAACGAUCAGUAGCCGACCUGAGAGGGUGACCGGCCACACUGGGACUGAGACACGGCCCAGACUCCUACGGGAGGCAGCAGUGGGGAAUAUUGCGCAAUGGGCGAAAGCCUGACGCAGCGACGCCGCGUGGGUGAUGAAGGCCUUCGGGUCGUAAAACCCUGUCGGGUGGAACGAAUCUCCGCUUGGCUAAUACCGAGGCGGAUUGACGGUACCACCGAAGGAAGCCCCGGCUAACUACGUGCCAGCAGCCGCGGUAAUACGUAGGGGGCGAGCGUUGUUCGGAUUUACUGGGCGUAAAGAGCGCGUAGGUGGUUCGAUUAGUCGGAGGUGAAAUCCCUCGGCUCAACCGANNACCCGCGUCCGAUANNNUCGAACUUGAGUGCAGGAGANNAG
This 682-nucleotide ribosomal RNA is filed under the name uncultured bacterium. Its description in RNAcentral is "bacterial SSU rRNA". It matches the Rfam family "Bacterial small subunit ribosomal RNA", at positions 1 to 659 of the family's 1533-position model. The record is from RNAcentral.